AGCGUCUUAAAGCACCAGUGGCGGCCGCGCUGAGGGCAGGGGCCGCUUCGGGGGCAGAGUGCGUCAAUGAAGACCAUUGUCGCAGGGUACUUAGGUGCCCUGCUCGUGAAGAGGGGAAACUGAUGGGGAAAGAGCCCUAGCAGGGAACAAGGAGCCCAGCUGUGGGUUGCCAGGGCAACCAGGGGAGGUCAGCUGACUGAAAGGGGUAGGGCCUGGCUCCCUUAUAAACCCUAGGAGCUAAGACCAGAGGUAGUCCCUGUCAGGAGCCCUGGAGGAAGGAGCUUUUUGCUGUGGAAGAGAGGAGAUGCCUGCUGAAGGAGCAGCACAUGACCUGGCUGUGGGAUGAAGAACCCUGGCACACACAACAAGUGUUGGAACACUGGCUGGCUUAAGAUACUUACUUUAAAAUCCAGGGUCCACAAGAAUUUACACAUGGAAAGGAAAGCAGCUCACUCAUCCUCCAUAUAAUUCAACUCACAGAUACUGCUUCUUGAGUAAAAUCAGAAUGACGGGAAAAUGUUAAGGCUUUUCAUUAAUCAGCUCACAAAAUGAACCCCCUUCACCUUUCAUAGACAAAUGCUUGAAGCAGUAUCCUUGCAUAUAAUUAUAAUUUCUCUGCAUUUAUAGAAUUCACUCCAGACCCUUCCAGUUCUUUUAGGCCACAUCUGAUGAAGGAAAACAUUAAAGUGAUAUUUAUACUGAA
Alligator mississippiensis (American alligator) is the source of this 703-nucleotide long non-coding RNA. RefSeq lists it as uncharacterized. NCBI's taxonomy places the organism in Eukaryota, Metazoa, Chordata, Crocodylia, Alligatoridae. The transcript has 4 exons. The record is from RefSeq and is a predicted model, not a curated record.